RNAcentral lists this ribosomal RNA (433 nucleotides) under uncultured bacterium. Its description in RNAcentral is "partial 16S ribosomal RNA". It matches the Rfam family "Bacterial small subunit ribosomal RNA", at positions 29 to 507 of the family's 1533-position model. The record is from RNAcentral.
AACGAACGCUGGCGGCAUGCCUAACACAUGCCAGUCGAACGAGACCUUCGGGUCUAGUGGCGCACGGGUGCGUAACGCGUGGGAACCUGCCCUUAGGUUCGGAAUAACUCCCCGAAAGGGGUGCUAAUACCGGAUAAUGUCUUCGGACCAAAGAUUUAUCGCCUUUGGAUGGGCCCGCGUUGGAUUAGCUAGUUGGUAGGGUAAAAGCCUACCAAGGCGACGAUCCAUAGCUGGUCUGAGAGGAUGAGCAGCCACACUGGGACUGAGACACGGCCCAGACUCCUACGGGAGGCAGCAGUGGGGAAUAUUGGACAAGGGGCGAAAGCCUGAUCCAGCAAUGCCGCGUGAGUGAUGAAGGCCUUAGGGUUGUAAAGCUCUUUUACCCGGGAUGAUAAUGACAGUACCGGGAGAAUAAGCUCCGGCUAACUCCGUG